Long non-coding RNA from Epinephelus fuscoguttatus (brown-marbled grouper), 1124 nucleotides. RefSeq lists it as uncharacterized. Lineage: Eukaryota; Metazoa; Chordata; Actinopteri; Perciformes; Serranidae. The transcript is spliced from 3 exons. The record is from RefSeq and is a predicted model, not a curated record.
AGAGGGCUAUCAGCGCAUGCCACGUUAGGCAAAAUUGUUUUCAUGCCCUCCUGUGGGCAUAUUUGUAAAUCUAUGGUGACUAUUUUGCCUCCCGUUUCAGAGUGACUUAUUGGCAGUAAUUUCCCCUCAUGUGAUUACAGAUGCAAGAUGCACAACAUUCAAGAAAUAAGCUGGCACAAAAUCGCUAGUAACUUGGCAACGGUCGGGUCGGUGUGCAGUCACUGUUAACUGAAAUGGCCGAACUCUUGUCUAUCAAUGUGCUCUGCUCACUGCGCUUCCCAACUGCAAAUAGGACUGUGAGCUUUCCAAAGGGUUAUAAUAGAAUGAGCAGGCAGCUGGUCCUCUUGGUUAAACAUGAACAGGCUGCUCUUUGACAGGACUGUCACCAACAGUCAGCGUAAGUCCCAGUGAGCCUGGUCUCACUCAAACAAACAAGAGGAUCAUAUCAGGGAUCUUUAAAGCUCUUCUGGCAACGAAUCCAAGCUUACUGAUGUAAGAUACGCAGAUGCUAGCAUCUCUGAAGUCUGAUAAUGUAUCUUGCCUGCAGCACCCAGCCAGCAGUCUUCUUACCAACGCUGUCAGUUAGCACCAAUACCGAGCUGUCAGCACAACUGAGCACCACGCUGCAAGACGUUUCUGCUGUAUGCCAUGGGGAUGGCAGGUUCAGGUGCGCUGCUCAAGUAAACCAGGGCCAUUGCCACAGGCAAUUUAAUCCUCACCAGCUGAGUCCAUCCACUCCUAAAACUCAAGACUUCUUCUUCGUUCGGAAGGCGCAAAAGCAAAGAAAUGUUCAGUUCAAUGAAGCAUUCUCCUCAGCACAUCAUUUAUGAAGGCUGCAACUAACAAUUUUUGUUGUCAGUUGAUCUGUUGAUUACUUUCUCAAUUAAUCAUUUAGUUGUUUUGUCUAUAAAAUGUAAGUAAAUGGUGAACAAUGUUGACUGGUGUUUCCCAAAGCCCUAGAUGAUGUCUUCAGAUGUCUUGUUUGGUCCAAAACCCAAAGAUAUUCAGUUUAUGGUCGUAAAAGACUAAAGAAACCAGAAAAUAUUCACAUUUAAGAAGCUGGUAUCAGACAAUUUUUACCUUUUUCCCUAAAAAAGUACUCAGAUUAACAGGUUAUCAAAUUA